RNAcentral lists this transfer RNA (22 nucleotides) under Praomys lukolelae (Lukolela Praomys). RNAcentral describes it as "partial tRNA-Val". The record is from RNAcentral. Lineage: Eukaryota; Metazoa; Chordata; Mammalia; Rodentia; Muridae.
CACAGUGUAGCUUAAUAUAAAG